RNAcentral lists this long non-coding RNA (375 nucleotides) under Ananas comosus (pineapple). Its description in RNAcentral is "long non-coding RNA (ACOM_LNC004054)". The record is from RNAcentral. Lineage: Eukaryota; Viridiplantae; Streptophyta; Magnoliopsida; Poales; Bromeliaceae.
AUUAUAAUAUUUAAAUAUAAUUUAUUAUAAAUUUUAUUAUAAUAUUUAAAUAUAAAUAAUAAGUAUUAAUAUAGUACAAUUAAUAAUUUUAUAAUAAAAAUAAUGUAUUAUAAUAUAUAACAUAUUAUAUUUAUAUAAUUUAGUUUUAAUUCAAUUUAUAAUUUUAAUUAAGUUUGAAAUUAAGCAUUGGAAUAGUGCUAUUCCACCAAAAUGGUGGAAUAGCAAAUCCCUUGCUAUUCCGGGAUAACCGGGAAUAGCAAGGUUUGACCGGGAUAAAAUAUCCCGGCCAAAUUUCACCCCGUUUGGCGGAAUAACGGGGAUAACGUUUGUUAUCCCCGCUUAUCCCCCCAACCAAACGGGGCCUAAAAAAAUAAU